This 379-nucleotide ribosomal RNA is filed under the name uncultured bacterium. RNAcentral describes it as "bacterial SSU rRNA". It matches the Rfam family "Bacterial small subunit ribosomal RNA", at positions 30 to 408 of the family's 1533-position model. The record is from RNAcentral.
AUUGAACGCUGGCGGAAUGCUUUACACAUGCAAGUCGAGCGGCAGCACGGGGGCAACCCUGGUGGCGAGCGGCGAACGGGUGAGUAAUACAUCGGAACAUGCCCAGUCGUGGGGGAUAAUACUUCGAAAGAAGUGCUAAUACCGCAUACGUCCUGAGGGAGAAAGCGGGGGGAUCGCAAGACCUCGCGCGAUUGGAGUGGCCGAUGUCAGAUUAGCUAGUUGGUGGGGUAAAGGCCUACCAAGGCAACGAUCUGUAGCUGGUCUGAGAGGAUGAUCAGCCACACUGGGACUGAGACACGGCCCAGACUCCUACGGGAGGCAGCAGUGGGGAAUUUUGGACAAUGGGGGCAACCCUGAUCCAGCCAUUCCGCGUGAGUGA